RNAcentral lists this ribosomal RNA (253 nucleotides) under uncultured bacterium. RNAcentral's name for it is "partial 16S ribosomal RNA". It matches the Rfam family "Bacterial small subunit ribosomal RNA", at positions 524 to 776 of the family's 1533-position model. The record is from RNAcentral.
UACGAAGGACCCAAGCGUUAUCCGGAUUUAUUGGGUUUAAAGGGUGCGUAGGCGGAUUAUUAAGUCAGUGGUGAAAUCUCCGGGCUCAACCCGGAAACUGCCAUUGAUACUAUUAGUCUUGAAUUCUGUUGAGGUGGGCGGAAUACAUCAUGUAGCGGUGAAAUGCUUAGAUAUGAUGUAGAACACCGAUUGCGAAGGCAGCUCACUAAGCAGACAUUGACGCUGAGGCACGAAAGCGUGGGGAUCAAACAGG